AUUGAACGCUGGCGGCAUGCCUUACACAUGCAAGUCGAACGGCAGCGGACCUUCGGGUGCCGGCGAGUGGCGAACGGGUGAGUAAUAUAUCGGAACGUACCUUUCAGUGGGGGAUAACGUAGCGAAAGUUACGCUAAUACCGCAUAUUCUGUGAGCAGGAAAGCAGGGGAUCGCAAGACCUUGCGCUGAUUGAGCGGCCGAUAUCAGAUUAGCUAGUUGGUGAGGUAAAGGCUCACCAAGGCGACGAUCUGUAGCGGGUCUGAGAGGAUGAUCCGCCACACUGGAACUGAGACACGGUCCAGACUCCUACGGGAGGCAGCAGUGGGGAAUUUUGGACAAUGGGCGCAAGCCUGAUCCAGCCAUGCCGCGUGAGUGAAGAAGGCCUCGGUUGUAAGUACGUACUUCGUCCGGUACGGAAGUACGACGACGG
RNAcentral lists this ribosomal RNA (430 nucleotides) under uncultured bacterium. Its description in RNAcentral is "bacterial SSU rRNA". It matches the Rfam family "Bacterial small subunit ribosomal RNA", at positions 30 to 461 of the family's 1533-position model. The record is from RNAcentral.